AAAUUGAAGAGUUUGAUCAUGGCUCAGAUUGAACGCUGGCGGCAGGCCUAACACAUGCAAGUCGAACGGUAACAGGAAGCAGCUUGCUGCUUUGCUGACGAGUGGCGGACGGGUGAGUAAUGUCUGGGAAACUGCCUGAUGGAGGGGGAUAACUACUGGAAACGGUGGCUAAUACCGCAUAACGUCGCAAGACCAAAGAGGGGGACCUUCGGGCCUCUUGCCAUCAGAUGUGCCCAGAUGGGAUUAGCUAGUUGGUGAGGUAACGGCUCACCAAGGCGACGAUCCCUAGCUGGUCUGAGAGGAUGACCAGCCACACUGGAACUGAGACACGGUCCAGACUCCUACGGGAGGCAGCAGUGGGGAAUAUUGCACAAUGGGCGCAAGCCUGAUGCAGCCAUGCCGCGUGUAUGAAGAAGGCCUUCGGGUUGUAAAGUACUUUCAGCGGGGAGGAAGGUGUUGUGGUUAAUAACCGCAGCAAUUGACGUUACCCGCAGAAGAAGCACCGGCUAACUCCGUGCCAGCAGCCGCGGUAAUACGGAGGGUGCAAGCGUUAAUCGGAAUUACUGGGCGUAAAGCGCACGCAGGCGGUCUGUCAAGUCGGAUGUGAAAUCCCCGGGCUCAACCUGGGAACUGCAUUCGAAACUGGCAGGCUUGAGUCUUGUAGAGGGGGGUAGAAUUCCAGGUGUAGCGGUGAAAUGCGUAGAGAUCUGGAGGAAUACCGGUGGCGAAGGCGGCCCCCUGGACAAAGACUGACGCUCAGGUGCGAAAGCGUGGGGAGCAAACAGGAUUAGAUACCCUGGUAGUCCACGCCGUAAACGAUGUCUACUUGGAGGUUGUGCCCUUGAGGCGUGGCUUCCGGAGCUAACGCGUUAAGUAGACCGCCUGGGGAGUACGGCCGCAAGGUUAAAACUCAAAUGAAUUGACGGGGGCCCGCACAAGCGGUGGAGCAUGUGGUUUAAUUCGAUGCAACGCGAAGAACCUUACCUGGUCUUGACAUCCACAGAACUUUCCAGAGAUGGAUUGGUGCCUUCGGGAACUGUGAGACAGGUGCUGCAUGGCUGUCGUCAGCUCGUGUUGUGAAAUGUUGGGUUAAGUCCCGCAACGAGCGCAACCCUUAUCCUUUGUUGCCAGCGAUUAGGUCGGGAACUCAAAGGAGACUGCCAGUGAUAAACUGGAGGAAGGUGGGGAUGACGUCAAGUCAUCAUGGCCCUUACGACCAGGGCUACACACGUGCUACAAUGGCGCAUACAAAGAGAAGCGACCUCGCGAGAGCAAGCGGACCUCAUAAAGUGCGUCGUAGUCCGGAUUGGAGUCUGCAACUCGACUCCAUGAAGUCGGAAUCGCUAGUAAUCGUGGAUCAGAAUGCCACGGUGAAUACGUUCCCGGGCCUUGUACACACCGCCCGUCACACCAUGGGAGUGGGUUGCAAAAGAAGUAGGUAGCUUAACCUUCGGGAGGGCGCUUACCACUUUGUGGUUCAUGACUGGGGUGAAGUCGUAACAAGGUAACCGUAGGGGAACCUGCGGUUGGAUCACCUCCUUA
Molecule: ribosomal RNA, 1542 nt
Filed under: Salmonella enterica
Lineage: Bacteria; Pseudomonadati; Pseudomonadota; Gammaproteobacteria; Enterobacterales; Enterobacteriaceae
Description: bacterial SSU rRNA
Rfam family: Bacterial small subunit ribosomal RNA
Source: RNAcentral